GUGCUCGCUUUGACAACACAUAUACUAAAAUUGGAAUGAUACGGAGAAGAUUAGCAUGUCUCCUGUGCAAGGAUGACAUGCAAAUUCGUGAAGCAUCCCAUAUUUUU
Small nuclear RNA from Sorex fumeus (smoky shrew), 107 nucleotides. The record is from RefSeq and is a predicted model, not a curated record. Lineage: Eukaryota; Metazoa; Chordata; Mammalia; Eulipotyphla; Soricidae.